This 495-nucleotide ribosomal RNA is filed under the name uncultured bacterium. RNAcentral's name for it is "bacterial SSU rRNA". It matches the Rfam family "Bacterial small subunit ribosomal RNA", at positions 37 to 518 of the family's 1533-position model. The record is from RNAcentral.
UGGCGGCGACGUCUUAAGCAUGCAAGUCGAACGGCAAGAGGUAGCAAUACCUCCUAGAGUGGCGGACUGGUGAGUAACACGUGGGUGACAUACCCUUCAGAUGGGGAUAGCUAUUAGAAAUAGUAGAUAAUACCGAAUACGAGCACAGGGGUUAGAGAUCUGUAGAGGAAAGGAGCUAAGGCUCCGCUGAAGGAAUGGCCUGCGGCCCAUUAGCUAGUUGGUGAGGUAAGAGCCCACCAAGGCGAUGAUGGGUAUCCGGCCUUAGAGGGUGAACGGACACAUUGGGACUGAGAUACGGCCCAGACUCCUACGGGAGGCAGCAGCUAAGAAUAUUCCGCAAUGGACGAAAGUCUGACGGAGCGACGCCGCCGUGGAUGAAGAAGGCCGGAAGGUUGUAAAAUCCUUUUGAAACUGAAGAAUAAGCGUUGUAGGGAAUGACAGCGUGGUGACAGUAGGUUUUGAAUAAGCAACGGCUAAUUACGUGCCAGCCGCCGC